This 460-nucleotide ribosomal RNA is filed under the name uncultured bacterium. RNAcentral describes it as "partial 16S ribosomal RNA". It matches the Rfam family "Bacterial small subunit ribosomal RNA", at positions 338 to 795 of the family's 1533-position model. The record is from RNAcentral.
CCUACGGGAGGCAGCAGUGAGGAAUAUUGGUCAAUGGACGAGAGUCUGAACCAGCCAAGUAGCGUGAAGGAUGACUGCCCUAUGGGUUGUAAACUUCUUUUAUAAGGGAAUAAAACGAGGCACGUGUGCCUUUUUGCAUGUACUUUAUGAAUAAGGAUCGGCUAACUCCGUGCCAGCAGCCGCGGUAAUACGGAGGAUCCGAGCGUUAUCCGGAUUUAUUGGGUUUAAAGGGAGCGUAGGUGGGAGGUUAAGUCAGUUGUGAAAUGUUGGGGCUCAACCGUAGAAUUGCAGUUGAUACUGGCAGUCUUGAGUACAGUUGAGGUAGGCGGAAUUCGUGGUGUAGCGGUGAAAUGCUUAGAUAUCACGAAGAACCCCGAUUGCGAAGGCAGCAUACUAAAGCGUGACUGACGUUGAAGCUCGAAAGUGUGGGUAUCGAACAGGAUUAGAUACCCGUGUAGUC